RNAcentral lists this ribosomal RNA (253 nucleotides) under uncultured bacterium. RNAcentral describes it as "partial 16S ribosomal RNA". It matches the Rfam family "Bacterial small subunit ribosomal RNA", at positions 524 to 776 of the family's 1533-position model. The record is from RNAcentral.
UACAGAGGUGGCAAGCGUUGUUCGGAAUUACUGGGCGUAAAGGGCGAGUAGGCGGCCUUCUAAGUCAGACGUGAAAUCCCCCGGCUUAACCUGGGAACUGCGUCUGAUACUGGGAGGCUCGAGUAUGGGAGAGGGAUGUAGAAUUCCAGGUGUAGCGGUGAAAUGCGUAGAUAUCUGGAGGAAUACCGGUGGCGAAGGCGGCAUCCUGGACCAUUACUGACGCUGAAUCGCGAAAGCUAGGGGAGCAAACGGG